GGGGCCCGCACAAGCGGUGGAGCAUGUGGUUUAAUUCGAAGCAACGCGAAGAACCUUACCAAGGCUUGACAUCCCGAUGACCGCUCUAGAGAUAGAGCUUCUCUUCGGAACAUCGGUGACAGGUGGUGCAUGGUUGUCGUCAGCUCGUGUCGUGAGAUGUUGGGUUAAGUCCCGCAACGAGCGCAACCCUUAUCUUCAGUAGCCAUCAUU
Molecule: ribosomal RNA, 210 nt
Filed under: Anaerotignum lactatifermentans
Lineage: Bacteria; Bacillati; Bacillota; Clostridia; Lachnospirales; Anaerotignaceae
Description: partial 16S ribosomal RNA
Rfam family: Bacterial small subunit ribosomal RNA
Source: RNAcentral